CUGCCGUUAAAAAACUAAAUUCAGUGGGUAAAUGUGAAAGUCUAAUUGGCCUUAUUAAACAAUUUGUGAAUUGGAAUCAUUGAACAAGUGGGGGGGGGGGGAAGGAGCCUUCUGCUGAGCUAAAAGAAAGCUUUCAAAGGCAGAGAGGGGACAUCAAGAAAAGAAAGAAAAGAAGGAAGGAAGGAAGGAAGAAAAAAACAAAGGAAUUUAGUAGCAAGGAAUGCCUUGCUUAGGAGAGGCUGCCCUCUUAAGGAGAGGGGAAGGGGCCUGUCAGUAAACUUCCAAGCCCUGACCAAGAAAUUCUACGUUGACUGCUUAAAGGUUACAUUCCGGGGAAGUUGAAACUGCAGGUGAUGUAGUCAACCAUCCAGAUUUAAAAUAUACGAACUCCUAAAGCGUGCCCACCCUUCCGCAGUUCAACGGAGCUUCAGCCUGGAGGAGUACGGCCUCUCGCAGCCCACCCUGGAGCAGGUGACUCUAGCUUUGCAGGAACUGUAGAUUCCUCCUUUGAGUGCUCAUCAAAUAUUUAAAAAGUCCCUGAUAGCAGCAUAAAGAGGAACCUUCACCGGUUCAGUUGCAGCUCUACAGGGAAAGGUUUGUGGGGAUACAUUCAACUCCUUACAUUGUGAAAGAACGAUUCAAUUUUGAAAAUAUCUUCUUGCGUUACUUUGGAUAGGAAUAUUUGUUGGAGGGGGCUAUCAGGAAGACCCCGGGGUUGGCCGCAGCAGUCAGAGGCUGCUCGCCCCUCCCCUGUCCCUGGAACGUAGCCCCCAUCCACCACGCCCACCACGGGAGCCAUUUUGAAGGUCACAACCUUGAGAGAGCAACGUGCUGCUGAGACCAUUUGGAGGGUUUACGUGAUCGAACCCCGUUAAGGACUCUGGGUAAACAUUUAAGAUUCUGGCCUGGGUGCAGACAUCUACUCGUCUGGAGGUGUGGGACACAAGCCUUAUAAGAACUGGCUGAAAAGAAGUGAAAACACCCCAGCAGUCCAAGAGAGAUCAUGUGAAUGUGAGGUUUGGCAGGACCUGCGGGACUGAGGUCAGAACUUCUGAAGGCUGUCUUCGCAGGAACUUUUCACAGAAGUCAAACAGUUAAAGCAAAUUGCAGAGAGGUGGUAGAGACCGGGGUGGGGGGAACAUGUGAACUGUUUUCUUCUAAACAAGGACGUCAGUGGAUAAAGUGUGAUUCUGGAUUCCUUGGUUCAGAUUUCUCAAGAGUAAGUUCGUUUUAUUUUUUCUGGUCUGUGACUUGUGUUUCGGGCUUUUCUUUCUUUCUUUUUUCUUUUCUCCUUAUCACAAAUUUAUAAAUUUGGAUGCUACCCCUCUGUGGAGAAAUUAUUUUGAAAAUUAAUGGGCUGUUUUGAUGUUUUGAGUACUCCAUGUUUAACAUGAUGGAAGCGACGGCAUUGAGUUAAAAUACAAAGGUGUAAAAAUCAUACAACUCUUAAUAUGAUUUUUCACCAGAAACUGAGUGUGGAAAUAAGCUGAACUUUGCUUAACAUGUUGAUCAGGAAGAAGUAGGGAUCUUGAGAACAGAUUUGUAAACCUGAAUUGUUUUUGAA
Long non-coding RNA from Herpailurus yagouaroundi (jaguarundi), 1564 nucleotides. RefSeq lists it as uncharacterized. The transcript has 6 exons. The record is from RefSeq and is a predicted model, not a curated record. Lineage: Eukaryota; Metazoa; Chordata; Mammalia; Carnivora; Felidae.